Molecule: ribosomal RNA, 404 nt
Filed under: uncultured Ktedonobacteria bacterium
Lineage: Bacteria; Bacillati; Chloroflexota; Ktedonobacteria
Description: bacterial SSU rRNA
Rfam family: Bacterial small subunit ribosomal RNA
Source: RNAcentral
AGCAAGGAAUUUUCGUCAAUGGGGGGAACCCUGAACGAGCAACGCCGCGUGGGCGAAGAAGUCCUUCGGGAUGUAAAGCCCUUUUCCCUGUGAAGAGAGAAAGACGGUAGCAGGGGAAUAAGCAUCGGCUAACUACGUGCCAGCAGCCGCGGUAAUACGUAGGAUGCAAGCGUUGUCCGGAAUUAUUGGGCGUAAAGAGCGCGCAGGCGGUUUUUCAAGUCAGAUGUGAAAGAGGCCGGCUUAACCGGCAAGGGUCAUUUGAAACUGGGGAACUAGAGUGCACAAGAGGAUAGCGGAAUUCCCGGUGUAGUGGUGAAAUGCGUAGAUAUCGGGAGGAACACCAGUGGCGAAGGCGGCUAUCUGGGGUGCAACUGACGCUGAGGCGCGAAGGCUAGGGUAGCAAA